Molecule: ribosomal RNA, 416 nt
Filed under: uncultured bacterium
Lineage: Bacteria
Description: bacterial SSU rRNA
Rfam family: Bacterial small subunit ribosomal RNA
Source: RNAcentral
GCGUAACGCGUAUGCAACCUGCCCCCAGUCAGGGGAAUAGCCCGCCGAAAGGCGGAUUAAUGCCCCAUAGGCCCAGGGCGCCGCAUGGCGCUAUGGGGUAAAGCUCCGGCGGAUGGGGGAUGGGCAUGCGUGCCAUUAGCUAGUUGGGGCGGUAACGGCGCACCAAGGCGACGAUGGCUAGGGGGUCUGAGAGGGAUGGUCCCCCACACUGGUACUGAGACACGGACCAGACUCCUACGGGAGGCAGCAGUGAGGAAUAUUGGUCAAUGGGCGGAAGCCUGAACCAGCCAUGCCGCGUGCAGGAUGACGGCCCUACGGGUUGUAAACUGCUUUUCCCCGGGAAGAAUAAGCCCCUCGUGAGGGGUGAUGCCGGUACCGGGGGAAUAAGGAUCGGCUAACUCCGUGCCAGCAGCCGC